This 231-nucleotide ribosomal RNA is filed under the name uncultured bacterium. RNAcentral describes it as "partial 16S ribosomal RNA". It matches the Rfam family "Bacterial small subunit ribosomal RNA", at positions 57 to 305 of the family's 1533-position model. The record is from RNAcentral.
GCAAGUCGAGCGAGAACAGUACUUCGGUACUUAUUAAAGCGGCAGACGGGUGCGUAACACGUGGGAAUCUACCUAGUUCUACGGAAUAGCCAUUGGAAACGAUGAUUAAUACCGUAUAAUCCCUCCGGGGGAAAGAUUUAUCGGAAUUAGAUGAGCCCGCGCCUGAUUAGUUUGUUGGUGGGGUAAUGGCCUACCAAGACUACGAUCAGUAGCUGUUCUUAGAGGAAGAUC